Molecule: ribosomal RNA, 253 nt
Filed under: uncultured bacterium
Lineage: Bacteria
Description: partial 16S ribosomal RNA
Rfam family: Bacterial small subunit ribosomal RNA
Source: RNAcentral
UACGGGGGGUGCGAGCGUUGUCCGGAAUCACUGGGCGUAAAGGGCGCGUAGGUGGCCUGAUAAGGGUGUGGUGAAAGUCCGGGGCUCAACCCCGGAUCUGCCGUGCCGACUGUCGGGCUAGAGUACUGUAGGGGCAGGCGGAAUUCCGGGUGUAGCGGUGGAAUGCGUAGAGAUCCGGAGGAAGACCGGUGGCGAAGGCGGCCUGCUGGGCAGUUACUGACACUGAGGCGCGACAGCGUGGGGAGCAAACAGG